UUAGAAUAAAACAAAUAAAAUUGAAAUUAAGAAAAUAGUAAAAGAUAAAAUUGUGCCUAAUCUUCUAGAUAACUUAAUAAAACAAUUUAUUUAUAUAUCGUGUGGGGUGCAAUUAUUCAAUGAUAGAUCUUAUCCUUUUCAAUCAUUUGCCCGUUCAAAUACUAUUAUAUUUAUAAUGAGAUCAAUAAAGUGCAGUAUUAUUUUUAUCUAAUAUAAAAAUUUUAAAAAAUUGAAAAUUUCAAAUACGACUAUAUCUAAAUAUAUAAAAUUCUUUCAUUAACUAAUCUCUAAAUUAGUAAUACUUUGG
RNAcentral lists this unclassified non-coding RNA (307 nucleotides) under Hevea brasiliensis (rubber tree). Lineage: Eukaryota; Viridiplantae; Streptophyta; Magnoliopsida; Malpighiales; Euphorbiaceae. The record is from RNAcentral.